Molecule: transfer RNA, 71 nt
Filed under: Dipodomys ordii (Ord's kangaroo rat)
Lineage: Eukaryota; Metazoa; Chordata; Mammalia; Rodentia; Heteromyidae
Rfam family: tRNA
About the family: Transfer RNA (tRNA) molecules are approximately 80 nucleotides in length.
Source: Rfam by way of RNAcentral
GGGAAGGUGGCUCAGUGGUAGAGUGCUUGCCUUGCAUGCAUGAGGCCCUGGGUUCGAUUCUUGUUUUUUUU